RNAcentral lists this ribosomal RNA (253 nucleotides) under uncultured bacterium. RNAcentral's name for it is "partial 16S ribosomal RNA". It matches the Rfam family "Bacterial small subunit ribosomal RNA", at positions 524 to 776 of the family's 1533-position model. The record is from RNAcentral.
GACAGAGGGUGCAAACGUUGUUCGGAAUUACUGGGCGUAAAGCGCGCGUAGGCGGCUUUGUAAGUUAGAGGUGAAAGCCCGGGGCUCAACUCCGGAAUUGCCUUUAAGACUGCAUCGCUAGAAUUGUGGAGAGGUAAGUGGAAUUCCGAGUGUAGAGGUGAAAUUCGUAGAUAUUCGGAAGAACACCAGUGGCGAAGGCGACUUACUGGACACAUAUUGACGCUGAGGUGCGAAAGCGUGGGGAGCAAACAGG